CUCCAGACUCCUACGGGAGGCAGCAGUGGGGAAUAUUGGGCAAUGGGCGCAAGCCUGACCCAGCAACGCCGCGUGAAGGAAGAAGGCUUUCGGGUUGUAAACUUCUUUUGUCAGGGACGAAGCAAGUGACGGUACCUGACGAAUAAGCCACGGCUAACUACGUGCCAGCAGCCGCGGUAAUACGUAGGUGGCAAGCGUUAUCCGGAUUUACUGGGUGUAAAGGGAGCGUAGACGGAAAGGCAAGUCAGAAGUGAAAACCCAAGGCUCAACCAUGGGACUGCUUUUGAAACUGUCAAACUAGAGUACGGGAGAGGUAAGAGGAAUUCCUAGUGUAGCGGUGAAAUGCGUAGAUAUUAGGAGGAACACCAGUGGCGAAGGCGGAUUGCUGGACAGUAACUGACGCUGAGGCGCGAAAGCGUGGGGAGCAAACAGGAUUAGAUACCCGGGUA
RNAcentral lists this ribosomal RNA (449 nucleotides) under uncultured bacterium. RNAcentral's name for it is "bacterial SSU rRNA". It matches the Rfam family "Bacterial small subunit ribosomal RNA", at positions 329 to 792 of the family's 1533-position model. The record is from RNAcentral.